ACUGUAAUAUAGCUUAUUGGUUCCAAUUGGGAACAGUCAUUGGAAGUAAUGGGGAAAGUUUGGUGAAAAUCCAACGCUGUCCCGCAACUGUAAUGAGACGAGCGACCCCGCAUGGCGCGAAAGACCCUAAAGAACUAGCUUUGCGUCGCACAAAGGAACGCGCGAGAUAUUCUCUACCAUCUCUAAGUCAGAAUGCCCGCCAAUAAAUAACUAAAUAAC
This 219-nucleotide non-coding RNA is filed under the name Hyella patelloides LEGE 07179. The record is from RNAcentral. Lineage: Bacteria; Bacillati; Cyanobacteriota; Cyanophyceae; Pleurocapsales; Pleurocapsaceae.